RNAcentral lists this ribosomal RNA (253 nucleotides) under uncultured bacterium. RNAcentral describes it as "partial 16S ribosomal RNA". It matches the Rfam family "Bacterial small subunit ribosomal RNA", at positions 524 to 776 of the family's 1533-position model. The record is from RNAcentral.
UACAGAGGUGGCAAGCGUUGUUCGGAAUUACUGGGUGUAAAGGGCGCGUAGGCGGCCUGUUAAGUCCCGUGUGAAAUCCCUCGGCUCAACCGAGGAACUGCACGGGAAACUGGCGGGCUUGAGUUCGGGAGAGGGAAGCGGAAUUCCGGGUGUAGCGGUGAAAUGCGUAGAUAUCCGGAGGAACACAGGUGGCGAAGGCGGCUUCCUGGACCGACACUGACGCUGAGGCGCGAAAGCUAGGGGAGCAAACGGG